Molecule: long non-coding RNA, 542 nt
Organism: Pieris brassicae (large cabbage white)
Lineage: Eukaryota; Metazoa; Arthropoda; Insecta; Lepidoptera; Pieridae
Exons: 4
Source: RefSeq, a predicted model, not a curated record
UUAUGUGAUAUGCAUAUUAACUAAUAUAAAUAACAGUGUUAGUUUUAUUUUUAGAUUUAUUCAUUUUAACGGAUUUUAUAUGCUAGAUGGGCUUGAAGCAUUUCCUGAAAUCUGGAAAGAUCUAGAUCUAGAGGCCUUUAAGGAAUGAGAAUAUCGGUAUUUUAAAGGACGGCAACACACCCGUAAGCCUCUUGGCGUUGGAGGUAUCCAUGAGAAGUGUAUCUUUCUAGUUUACAGGAGAAAGUAUAAUCGAAUAAUAUCUGGCCGAUAUACGAAGACUGCAACGAGAAAAAGAAAAACUCAAAAAAUCCUGUUUUAUCUCAAUACACAGGAAGCGCAGAAAAUAGAUCCGGAAUACCCGGAUAUACCCGGGCUACACCGGCAUGAUACUCUUUAUCCGGGAUUAAAUUUUGCAAAGAAGCAACUUUGCGACGUCUGGAUAUACUCAUCUGUUCGGAUAAAUACGGGAACUACGACCCCCGACAUACAGCACUUGCUCUUAUAUUCACUACACCACUAAUUUCACUAACUGAAAAGGUUCU